RNAcentral lists this ribosomal RNA (710 nucleotides) under uncultured Glomus. RNAcentral's name for it is "eukaryotic LSU rRNA". It matches the Rfam family "Eukaryotic large subunit ribosomal RNA", at positions 38 to 648 of the family's 3401-position model. Lineage: Eukaryota; Fungi; Glomeromycota; Glomeromycetes; Glomerales; Glomeraceae. The record is from RNAcentral.
GCAUAUCAAUAAGCGGAGGAAAAGAAACUAACAAGGAUUCCCUUAGUAACGGCGAGUGAAGAGGGAAGAGCUCAAAUUUUAAAUCUGCUACGUUAUACGUGGCCGAAUUGUAAUUUGAAGAAGCGUUUUCUCGUUCCACGAUCAGUCGAAGUUCUCUUGGAACAGGACAUCAUAGAGGGUGAUAAUCCCGUCUGCUGCUGAUCGUGAGUUCGUCAUACGAUACGCUUUCAAAGAGUCGAGUUGUUUGGGAUUGCAGCUCCAAACGGGUGGUAAACAUCACCUAAGGCUAAAUAUUUGCGAGAGACCGAUAGCGAACAAGUACCGUGAGGGAAAGAUGAAAAGAACUUUGAAAAGAGAGUUAAAAAGUAUGUGAAAUUGUUGAAAGGGAAACGAUUGAAGUCAGUCGUGCAGUCAUCGAUUCAACGGUUUAAAUUUGGGCUUCUGCUCAUGUUUGUCCGUGCAUUUUGGUGUGUCUGCUGGUCAGCGUCAAUUUCGAUUGUCAUAAAAAGGUCAGAGGGAUGUGGCUCUUUCGAGAGUGUUAUAACCUUUGGCGGAAUGUGGCGAUCGGGAUUGAGGUUUGCACGAUUAUAGUUUCCUGGCCUCUCGUCGACGUCUGAAUUGUGGAAGCUUGCUGAAGCAGUUUAGACCGUUUGUGAAAAGGUUGGAGCGACUAGAUCGUUAAGGAUGCUGACGUAAUGGCUUUAAACGAC